AUACGUAGGUGGCAAGCGUUGUCCGGAAUUAUUGGGCGUAAAGCGCGCGCAGGUGGUUCCUUAAGUCUGAUGUGAAAGCCCCCGGCUCAACCGGGGAGGGUCAUUGGAAACUGGGGAACUUGAGUGCAGAAGAGGAUAGUGGAAUUCCAAGUGGAGCGGUGAAAUGCGUAGAGAUUUGGAGGAACACCAGUGGCGAAGGCGACUGUCUGGUCUGUAACUGACACUGAGGCGCGAAAGCGUGGGGAGCAAACAGGAUUAGAUACCCUGGUAGUCCACGCCGUAAACGAUGAGUGCUAAGUGUUGGGGGGUUUCCGCCCCUCAGUGCUGCAGCUAACGCAUUAAGCACUCCGCCUGGGGAGUACGGUCGCAAGACUGAAACUCAAAUGAAUUGACGGGG
RNAcentral lists this ribosomal RNA (397 nucleotides) under uncultured bacterium. Its description in RNAcentral is "partial 16S ribosomal RNA". It matches the Rfam family "Bacterial small subunit ribosomal RNA", at positions 523 to 918 of the family's 1533-position model. The record is from RNAcentral.